Molecule: ribosomal RNA, 303 nt
Filed under: uncultured bacterium
Lineage: Bacteria
Description: partial 16S ribosomal RNA
Rfam family: Bacterial small subunit ribosomal RNA
Source: RNAcentral
AGCAGUAGCCGCGGUAAUACGGAGGAUCCAAGCGUUAAUCGGAAUUACUGGGCGUAAAGCGUGCGCAGGCGGUUCGCUAAGACAGAUGUGAAAUCCCCGGGCUUAACCUGGGAACUGCAUUUGUGACUGGCGAGCUAGAGUAUGGCAGAGGGGGGUAGAAUUCCACGUGUAGCAGUGAAAUGCGUAGAGAUGUGGAGGAAUACCGAUGGCGAAGGCAGCCCCCUGGGCCAAUACUGACGCUCAUGCACGAAAGCGUGGGGAGCAAACAGGAUUAGAUACCCGUGUAGUCCCUGUCUCUUAUAC